RNAcentral lists this ribosomal RNA (1010 nucleotides) under Parawixia kochi. Its description in RNAcentral is "SSU rRNA". It matches the Rfam family "Eukaryotic small subunit ribosomal RNA", at positions 690 to 1723 of the family's 1831-position model. Lineage: Eukaryota; Metazoa; Arthropoda; Arachnida; Araneae; Araneidae. The record is from RNAcentral.
GCCGAGCGUUCAGGCGGUUAUUCUUGAUGAUCUUCACCGGUUGUCUCGGGUGACCGCCAAGUUUACUUUGAAAAAAUUAGAGUGCUCAAAGCAGGCGCGACGCCUGAAUAAUUGUGCAUGGAAUAAUGGAAUAGGACCUCGGUUCUAUUUUGUUGGUUUUCGGAACACGAGGUAAUGAUUAAGAGGGACAGACGGGGGCAUUCGUAUUGCGACGCUAGAGGUGAAAUUCUUGGACCGUCGCAAGACGAACUACUGCGAAAGCAUUUGCCAAGAAUGUUUCCAUUAAUCAAGAACGAAAGUUAGAGGUUCGAAGGCGAUCAGAUACCGCCCUAGUUCUAACCAUAAACGAUGUCAGCCAGCAAUCCGCCUGUGUUCCUCAAAUGACACGGCGGGCGGCUUCCGGGAAACCAAAGCUUUUGGGUUCCGGGGGAAGUAUGGUUGCAAAGCUGAAACUUAAAGGAAUUGACGGAAGGGCACCACCAGAAAUGGAGCCUGCGGCUUAAUUUGACUCAACACGGGGAAACUUACCCGGCCCGGACACAGGAAGGAUUGACAGAUUAAGAGCUCUUUCUUGAUUCUGUGGGUGGUGGUGCAUGGCCGUUCUUAGUUGGUGGGGCGACUUGUCUGGUUAAUUCCGAUAACGAACGAGACUCUAGCCUACUAAAUAGACGUUCCGAUCCUCUUUCGUCGGACGUUCUUCUUAGAGGGACAAGCGGCGUUUAGCCGCACGAGACAGAGCAAUAACAGGUCUGGGAUGCCCUUAGAUGUCCGGGGCCGCACGCGCGCUACAUUGAAGGAAUCAGCGUGUGCUUUCCCUGUCCGAAAGGACUGGGUAACCCGUUGAACCUCCUUCGUGCUGGGGAUUGGCGCCUGUAAUUACUCGCCAUGAACGAGGAAUUCCCAGUAAGCACGAGUCAUCAGCUCGUGUUGAUUACGUCCCUGCCCUUUGUCCACACCGCCCGUCGCUACUACCGAUUGAAUGAUUUAGUGAGGUCUUCGGACUGGCGCUC